RNAcentral lists this ribosomal RNA (1718 nucleotides) under Klebsiella michiganensis. RNAcentral describes it as "partial 23S ribosomal RNA". It matches the Rfam family "Bacterial large subunit ribosomal RNA", at positions 1 to 1759 of the family's 2925-position model. The record is from RNAcentral. Lineage: Bacteria; Pseudomonadati; Pseudomonadota; Gammaproteobacteria; Enterobacterales; Enterobacteriaceae.
GGUUAAGCGACUAAGCGUACACGGUGGAUGCCCUGGCAGUCAGAGGCGAUGAAGGACGUGCUAAUCUGCGAAAAGCGUCGGUAAGGUGAUAUGAACCGUUAUAGCCGGCGAUGUCCGAAUGGGGAAACCCAGUGCAAUUCGUUGCACUAUCGUUUGAUGAAUACAUAGUCAAACGAGGCGAACCGGGGGAACUGAAACAUCUAAGUACCCCGAGGAAAAGAAAUCAACCGAGAUUCCCCCAGUAGCGGCGAGCGAACGGGGAGCAGCCCGGAGUCUGAAUCAGCUUGUGUGUUAGUGGAAGCGUCUGGAAAGUCGCAGGGUACAGGGUGAUACUCCCGUACACUAAAAUGCACAGGUUGUGAACUCGAAGAGUAGGGCGGGACACGUGGUAUCCUGUCUGAAUAUGGGGGGACCAUCCUCCAAGGCUAAAUACUCCUGACUGACCGAUAGUGAACCAGUACCGUGAGGGAAAGGCGAAAAGAACCCCGGCGAGGGGAGUGAAAAAGAACCUGAAACCGUGUACGUACAAGCAGUAGGAGCCCACUAGUUGGGUGACUGCGUACCUUUUGUAUAAUGGGUCAGCGACUUAUAUUCUGUAGCAAGGUUAACCGUAUAGGGGAGCCGCAGGGAAACCGAGUCUUAACUGGGCGUUAAGUUGCAGGGUAUAGACCCGAAACCCGGUGAUCUAGCCAUGGGCAGGUUGAAGGUUGGGUAACACUAACUGGAGGACCGAACCGACUAAUGUUGAAAAAUUAGCGGAUGACUUGUGGCUGGGGGUGAAAGGCCAAUCAAACCGGGAGAUAGCUGGUUCUCCCCGAAAGCUAUUUAGGUAGCGCCUCGUGAACUCAUCUUCGGGGGUAGAGCACUGUUUCGGCUAGGGGGUCAUCCCGACUUACCAACCCGAUGCAAACUACGAAUACCGAAGAAUGUUAUCACGGGAGACACACGGCGGGUGCUAACGUCCGUCGUGAAGAGGGAAACAACCCAGACCGCCAGCUAAGGUCCCAAAGUCAUGGUUAAGUGGGAAACGAUGUGGGAAGGCCCAGACAGCCAGGAUGUUGGCUUAGAAGCAGCCAUCAUUUAAAGAAAGCGUAAUAGCUCACUGGUCGAGUCGGCCUGCGCGGAAGAUGUAACGGGGCUAAACCAUGCACCGAAGCUGCGGCAGCGACGCUUAUGCGUUGUUGGGUAGGGGAGCGUUCUGUAAGCCGUUGAAGGUGGCCUGUGAGGGUUGCUGGAGGUAUCAGAAGUGCGAAUGCUGACAUAAGUAACGAUAAUGCGGGUGAAAAACCCGCACGCCGGAAGACCAAGGGUUCCUGUCCAACGUUAAUCGGGGCAGGGUGAGUCGACCCCUAAGGCGAGGCCGAAAGGCGUAGUCGAUGGGAAACAGGUUAAUAUUCCUGUACUCGGUGUUACUGCGAAGGGGGGACGGAGAAGGCUAUGUUGGCCGGGCGACGGUUGUCCCGGUUUAAGCAUGUAGGCGGAUGUUCCAGGUAAAUCCGGAACGUUACUAACGCUGAGGUGUGAUGACGAGGCACUACGGUGCUGAAGUGACAAAUGCCCUGCUUCCAGGAAAAGCCUCUAAGCAUCAGGUAACAUCAAAUCGUACCCCAAACCGACACAGGUGGUCAGGUAGAGAAUACCAAGGCGCUUGAGAGAACUCGGGUGAAGGAACUAGGCAAAAUGGUGCCGUAACUUCGGGAGAAGGCACGCUGAUGGUA